Molecule: ribosomal RNA, 429 nt
Filed under: Chloroflexota bacterium
Lineage: Bacteria; Bacillati; Chloroflexota
Description: Chloroflexi bacterium partial 16S ribosomal RNA
Rfam family: Bacterial small subunit ribosomal RNA
Source: RNAcentral
UGGGGAAUAUUGCACAAUGGGCGCAAGCCUGAUGCAGCCAUGCCGCGUGUGUGAAGAAGGCCUUCGGGUUGUAAAGUACUUUCAGCGGGGAGGAAGGGAGUAAAGUUAAUACCUUUGCUCAUUGACGUUACCCGCAGAAGAAGCACCGGCUAACUCCGUGCCACCAGCCGCGGUAAUACGGAGGGUGCAAGCGUUAAUCGGAAUUACUGGGCGUAAAGCGCACGCAGGCGGUUUGUUAAGUCAGAUGUGAAAUCCCCGGGCUCAACCUGGGAACUGCAUCUGAUACUGGCAAGCUUGAGUCUCGUAGAGGGGGGUAGAAUUCCAGGUGUAGCGGUGAAAUGCGUAGAGAUCUGGAGGAAUACCGGUGGCGAAGGCGGCCCCCUGGACGAAGACUGACGCUCAGGUGCGAAAGCGUGGGGAGCAAACAGG